GGUACAUUUUCGGCGCAGUGUCACUCGACCAGUGAGCUAUUACGCACUCUUUAAAUGAUGGCUGCUUCUAAGCCAACAUCCUGGUUGUCUAAGCAACGCCACAUCCUUUUCCACUUAACGGAUAUUUGGGGACCUUAGCUGGUGGUCUGGGCUGUUUCCCUCUUGACUACGGAUCUUAUCACUCGCAGUCUGACUCCCGGACAACAAGGUGAGUGUAUUCAAGGCAGAUGGAAUUCGUGGUGUAGCGGUGAAAUGCUUAGAUAUCACGAAGAACUCCGAUUGCGAAGGCAGUCUGCUGGGUUACAACUGACGCUGAGGCUCGAAAGUGCGGGUAUCAAACAGGAUUAGAUACCCUGGUAGUCCGCACAGUAAACGAUGAAUGCUCGUCCUUGGCGAUAUACGGUCAGGGACCAAGCGAAAGCAUUAAGCAUUCCACCUGGGGAUACGCGGCAACGGUGAAACUCAAGGAAUUGACGGGGCCGCACAAGCGAGGAACAUGUGGUUAAUUCG
Molecule: ribosomal RNA, 510 nt
Filed under: uncultured bacterium
Lineage: Bacteria
Description: bacterial SSU rRNA
Rfam family: Bacterial small subunit ribosomal RNA
Source: RNAcentral